This 444-nucleotide ribosomal RNA is filed under the name uncultured bacterium. Its description in RNAcentral is "partial 16S ribosomal RNA". It matches the Rfam family "Bacterial small subunit ribosomal RNA", at positions 339 to 795 of the family's 1533-position model. The record is from RNAcentral.
CUACGGGGUGCUGCAGUGGGGAAUAUUGCACAAUGGGCGAAAGCCUGAUGCAGCAACGCCGCGUGAGGGACGACGGCCUUCGGGUUGUAAACCUCUUUUAGCAGGGAAGAAGCGAAAGUGACGGUACCUGCAGAAAAAGCACCGGCUAACUACGUGCCAGCAGCCGCGGUAAUACGUAGGGUGCAAGCGUUGUCCGGAAUUAUUGGGCGUAAAGAGCUCGUAGGCGGUUUGUCGCGUCUGCUGUGAAAAUCCGAGGCUCAACCUCGGACCUGCAGUGGGUACGGGCAAACUAGAGUGCGGUAGGGGAGAUUGGAAUUCCUGGUGUAGCGGUGGCAUGCGCAGAUAUCAGGAGGAACACCAAUGGCGAAGGCAGAUCUCUGGGCCGUAACUGACGCUGAGGAGCGAAAGCGUGGGGAGCGAACAGGAUUAGAUACCCUAGUAGUC